AAGCCUUUUAGAAAAUUUUAAUUCGGUAAUAGAAGGAGAGGAGAAAAACACUGACCUUGUUCCGCCCAUUGUUGAGCGAGCGCUAUCAGAAAGUUGCUUUCGCAAGCCUUAACUGUGUACUACUUCUCUCUUGAUCCAGCGCUCAUCGUCCUCGGCUGAUUUAAAUAUGGAUAUGGAAUGGUCUGAGUAUGAACAGCGUGAGGAGCGAGAUGAUAUUAAGGAUAGGAAGAAGAGUAGCCGAGGGGAAGAGAAAGACCAUAGAAGUAGAGAGCGAGAUAGGUCGAGGAGGAGUGGUGAUGACUCAUUGAAAGAAAGGGAGAAAGAGGUUAAAGAACCAGAAAAGGAGCGAAGCUCAGGCAAGGAGAGGAAGAAGGAUGACAGAAGUGAGCGUGAGAAAGAUAGGAGUAGAGAUAAUAAGGUUAGAGACAAAGAUCAUGAUCGAGAAAAGAAUAGAGAAAAAGAUCCGGGAAGGGAUAAAGAUCGUGUGAAAGAUAAAGAUCGUGAGAAGGAGAGAGAUGUUGAUCGGGGGCGGGAUAAAGAGAGGGGAAAGGAGAAGAACAAGGAUAGGGAUAAGGAAAGGGACAGAGCCAAGGAAAAAGAGAGAGAACGAGAUAGAGAGAGACAUAAAGAUAGGGAGAAGGGAAGAGAAAUUUACAAGGAUAUGGACAAAGAAAAAAUUAAAGAGAAGGAAAGGGACGCAGAUGAAGAGAAGGACAAGUCCAGAGAUAGAGUGAGCAGGAAAAGUCCAGACGGAGAUUACGAUCGGAGUAAGGAUGGGGGAAAAGAUGAUAGAUCUAGGCUAAAUUAUGAGAAUAACAAGGACAGGGAUGCUAAGCAAGGGAGGGCUUCGCAGUACACUGAAGGUGAACGAAUGGAUGAUGACAUAGCUCGUGAAGCACACCUAGCAUCAUCAGAACUUGAGGAACGCAUUUUGAAGAUGAAGGAAGAGAGAUCAAAGAAAAAAACAGAAGAUGUUUCUGAAGUUUUUGCUUGGGUUAGUAAGAGCCGCAAGCUUGAGGUAAAAAAGAAUGUAGUGAAAGAGAAAGCUAUGCAGCUGUCGAAGAAGUUUGAGGAACAGGAUAACAUUGUUCAAGGAGAAAGUGAAGAUGAGGAGACAGCUCAUCAUCAUUUAGCUGGAGUUAAAGUUCUUCACGGGCUUGACAAAGUUAUGGAAGGUGGUGCAGUUGUUUUGACACUGAAAGAUCAGAAUAUUCUAGCUGAUGGCGAUAUUAAUGAAGAUGUUGAUAUGCUUGAGAAUGUGGAAAUUGGAGAGCAGAAGCAGCGAGAUGAUGCUUACAAAGCAGCAAAGAGGAAAGUGGGGACGUAUGCUGACAAGUUUAAUGAUGAUCCAAAUGUAGAGAAGAAAAUGCUUCCGCAAUAUGACGAUCCAGCAACAGAUGAGGGCGUAACUCUAGAUGAACGAGGACGUGUUACUAAUGAAGCAGAGAAGAGACUUGAAGAGCUUCGUAGAAGGUUACAAGGUUCUUCUACAACCAAUCGCUUUGAAGAUCUCAACUUGCCUGGAAAAACAGCAUCAGAUUACUAUACUUCUGAAGAAAUGGUUCAGUUUAAAAAGCCCAAGAAAAAGAAAUCAUUGCGGAAAAAGGAUAAGCUAGACUUAGAUGCCCUUGAAGCAGAAGCAGUUUCUGCAGGGCUGGGUGUUGGUGAUCUUGGUUCCCGUAAGGAUGGGAAGCGGCAGUCUGCUAAACAAGAGCAAGAGAGAGCUGAGGCUGAAAGGAGGAAUAUUGCAUACCAGACAGCAUUGGCUAAAGCAGAUGAGGCAUCUAAAUCAUUACGAAUGGAACAAACUCUUCCCUCCAAACCUGAGGAGGAGGAUUCAGUUUAUGCAGAUGAUGAUGAAGAUCUUUAUAAAUCUCUGGCAAGAGCAAGGACAUUAGCUCUCAAAAAGAAAGAUGAUGCACCAUCUGGUCCUCAGGCUUUUGCACUUCUUGUUGCCAGCACUGCCAACAGCCAGACUGCUGAUGAACAAAAUCCUACAACUGGAGAGUCUCAGGAAAACAAGGUUGUCUUUACAGAGAUGGAAGAGUUUGUAUGGGGUCUUCAGCUUGAAGAAGAAGCCCAUAAGCCUGAUGGCGAAGAUGUUUUUAUGGAAGAAGAUGAGGAACCGGAAAUUUCUAAUGAGGAAGUAAAAACUGAGCCUGGUGGGUGGACUGAAGUUAAUGAUACUGAAAAAGAUGAAGAUCCCAGUAAAGAGGAUAAGGAGGAGAUUGUUCCAGAUGAAAUUAUUCAUGAAGUUGCAGUUGGUAAAGGAUUGUCAGGUGCAUUGAAGUUACUUAAAGAGAGAGGAACGCUGAAAGAAAGUAUUGAUUGGGGUGGCAGAAAUAUGGACAAAAAGAAAAGCAAACUUGUUGGCAUUGUUGGGGAUGAUGAUGAUGAUGAGCCAAAGAAGGGGAUGCAACCACCCCGCCAAAAGAAGGAUGAGACUCGUACUUCAUCUUUGGGCCAUUCAAAGGAGACUCACCCACCUAAAGUCUAUCAUGAAAGGGACAUCCGCAUUGAAAGGACUGAUGAAUUUGGGCGUAUUCUGACUCCAAAGGAAGCCUUUCGGAUUCUUUCUCAUAAGUUCCAUGGAAAGGGACCUGGCAAAAUGAAACAAGAAAAGCGCAUGAAGCAAUUCCAUGAAGAGUUGAAGUUGAAGCAGAUGAAGAGUUCGGAUACGCCAUCAUUGUCUGUGGAGCGGAUGAGAGAAGCUCAGGCUCAAUUAAAGACUCCGUAUCUUGUCCUUAGUGGUCAUGUCAAACCAGGACAAACUAGUGAUCCUAGAAGUGGUUUUGCUACUGUGGAGAAGGAUCUCCCUGGAGGAUUAACUCCCAUGCUUGGUGAUAGAAAGGUUGAACAUUUUCUCGGAAUAAAGCGGAAACCCGAGGCUACCAGUUCAGGAACCCCGAAGAAGGGGAAACCCUAAAUAGAAUUUUGAAGCUGAUUGCAUACAAUGCUUGGGCUUGGGUUUGGCAUAUCAACAAUUUGGCUCCUGUGAGUUGCGCAAGUCACAUUGGGUUUGGCAUAUUCUAAACUAUUUUUGGUUCGUGAAGCAUUACCUGUUUCUGCUGUUGACUGUAAAUUCACGUCCCAAUUUGAGAAAAAGAAGAGCUGUGGAGAAAUCUUUUGGUUAAAUUCACCACUCAGUUCAGGGCUCAUAAGUCAGGCUUUCGGCUUCCCGUUUGACCGAAUCAAACAGUACUGAAGACAGGUAUCUUUCUCCGAAGCUAGCAAAAAUGACCUGCAUAAACAUGUUUGUAUAUGAAUUCAAGAAGUCCCAAUUAGCCUAAGGUAAGGUCCAACUAAAAUAUAUAUAUAUAUAUAUAUAUAUUUAUAUACACGAGAGAUCAAACUUACAACAAUGAGUUUCCCUGCGUUUUCUGGCCUCUUUGCUAUCUUAAUUGCAGCCGCAGCUGUGGCCCCUGAUGAUAUUCCUACCUGCAAACAUAUAAUAUAAUUCCAUCAAUUAUACCAGUUUUGGGAAAGAAACUAUGGUGAUUUUUAACUUCUGUGCUAUAAAGAAGCCAAGUGCGAUAUUUUUUUUAGCAGAAAAUGUUAGUUGUUAACUCACUACUAAAGUCUUUUUUAGAGUAGAUAACUUACCAGUAAACCUUCUUUCAGUGCAAUAAGCUUUGCAGUUUCAAUCGCUUCCUCGCUUGAUAUCUGCGAAAAAUCCGACACUUCUAUAUGUUAGACAAUAUCUUAGACUCAACGUGUCACAAGAAUUCUGUGUGUGUGUGUGUGUGUGAAAGCAUCAGAUGUUGAAGGUUGCUAUAGCAAUUUAUGGACUGGGUAGCAAUAUCUCAUCGUGCAAACCAAUAACUAUAAUGAAACAAAUCAGUAAUCUCUUGAGCUACAUUAUAUGAUUUUAUAAAAUUCUUCAAAUGGAAGUUCUAAGACUACGGAGUAUUUGAGGCUUA
Molecule: RNA transcript, 3920 nt
Organism: Humulus lupulus (European hop)
Lineage: Eukaryota; Viridiplantae; Streptophyta; Magnoliopsida; Rosales; Cannabaceae
Gene name: SART-1 family protein DOT2
Exons: 14
Source: RefSeq, a predicted model, not a curated record